AUGCAGUUUUUGCUGGAUGAGCACUUGUUGUUUUUCUUAUCGGCAGAUUUAUUAAGAGGUAAUUUAUUAAGAGGCACUCUGCACCCUGAGCCCUGCAUGCAUCCAGAGGAAAGCAGUGAUGACCACAGAGCUCAGAAACCUCAGAGCAGGGUCUGGGCUUCAUUACUCUGGAUUCCUGAGAGUGAGGUACAGAAAAAGGCCUUUCCUCAGAGCCUGGCUGCAAAAAUUCUCCUAAGCCUUGGGACAUGGAUUGGAGCUGUAUCCACCAUGGGGCUCACAGCAGUGGGCCAAGAGGAAACAUUUUUUCUAACUUGUGAGCGAAGAUGAAAUUGUUUCCUUUGCUCAUGGUCAACUCCGCCAGGAGAACUUCACUCAUUCCUGAAGAACUCUUCCCAGGAUGAGACUGAUGAGUUACACAGUGUUCAAAUAAGCGAAAAGUCAAGGUUGUUGUGCAGGUUGCUAAUGAAUUCACUGUGGUUUGGGCUAGGAGAAGACGAUGACGUGUCUGGGGAUCAUUCCAUGAAUGGCAGAAAUGAGGAAUCCUUCAUUCGUGCAAGUUUGUGCCAGCUGCUUGGAUCCUCUCUGCACAGGCUCCUCCCUGGUCAUUAUGAUAUGUGUAAUGAUGGUGCUCCUGUUUAGCCUCUCUCAUGUCUCGUAGGACUGCAUUCUUAACUUAUGCUAAUGAAGCAUCUUUCUUACCUCGACCCAUUUGUCAAAUUCAGAUGAAAUUACUGCAGAACUAAAAAGCUGGGGAAGAUAGAAUAAACAAAAAGAAGCAAAGUGAGCUCA
This 789-nucleotide long non-coding RNA is filed under the name Numida meleagris (helmeted guineafowl). RNAcentral describes it as "lncRNA (ENSNMEG00000004983.1)". Lineage: Eukaryota; Metazoa; Chordata; Aves; Galliformes; Numididae. The record is from RNAcentral.